This 372-nucleotide ribosomal RNA is filed under the name uncultured organism. Its description in RNAcentral is "partial 16S ribosomal RNA". It matches the Rfam family "Bacterial small subunit ribosomal RNA", at positions 527 to 896 of the family's 1533-position model. The record is from RNAcentral.
GUAGGUGGCAAGCGUUGUCCGGAAUUAUUUGGCGUAAAGCGCGCGCAGGCGGUUCUUUAAGUCUGAUGUGAAAGCCCACGGCUCAACCGUGGAGGGUCAUUGGAAACUGGAGAACUUGAGUACAGAAGAGGAAAGCGGAAUUCCACGUGUAGCGGUGAAAUGCGUAGAGAUGUGGAGGAACACCAGUGGCGAAGGCGGCUUUCUGGUCUGUAACUGACGCUGAGGCGCGAAAGCGUGGGGAGCAAACAGGAUUAGAUACCCUGGUAGUCCACGCCGUAAACGAUGAGUGCUAAGUGUUAGGGGGUUUCCGCCCCCCUUAGUGCUGCAGCUAACGCAUUAAGCACUCCGCCUGGGAGUACGGCCGCAAGGCUG